AGAGUGAACGCUGGCGGCAGGCCUAACACAUGCAAGUCGAACGGCAGCACAGAGGAGCUUGCUCCUUGGGUGGCGAGUGGCGGACGGGUGAGGAAUACGUCGGAAUCUGCCUAUUUGUGGGGGAUAACGUAGGGAAACUUACGCUAAUACCGCAUACGACCUACGGGUGAAAGCGGAGGACCUUCGGGCUUCGCGCAGAUAGAUGAGCCGACGUCGGAUUAGCUUGUUGGCGGGGUAAAGGCCCACCAAGGCGACGAUCCGUAGCUGGUCUGAGAGGAUGAUCAGCCACACUGGAACUG
This 299-nucleotide ribosomal RNA is filed under the name uncultured soil bacterium. RNAcentral's name for it is "partial 16S ribosomal RNA". It matches the Rfam family "Bacterial small subunit ribosomal RNA", at positions 26 to 321 of the family's 1533-position model. The record is from RNAcentral.